GUGAUGACGAGGCACUACGGUGCUGAAGCAACAAAUGCCCUGCUUCCAGGAAAAGCCUCUAAGCAUCAGGUAACAUCAAAUCGUACCCCAAACCGACACAGGUGGUCAGGUAGAGAAUACCAAGGCGCUUGAGAGAACUCGGGUGAAGGAACUAGGCAAAAUGGUGCCGUAACUUCGGGAGAAGGCACGCUGAUACGUAGGUGAAGUCCCUCGCGGAUGGAGCUGAAAUCAGUCGAAGAUACCAGCUGGCUGCAACUGUUUAUUAAAAACACAGCACUGUGCAAACACGAAAGUGGACGUAUACGGUGUGACGCCUGCCCGGUGCCGGAAGGUUAAUUGAUGGGGUCAGCGCAAGCGAAGCUCUUGAUCGAAGCCCCGGUAAACGGCGGCCGUAACUAUAACGGUCCUAAGGUAGCGAAAUUCCUUGUCGGGUAAGUUCCGACCUGCACGAAUGGCGUAAUGAUGGCCAGGCUGUCUCCACCCGAGACUCAGUGAAAUUGAACUCGCUGUGAAGAUGCAGUGUACCCGCGGCAAGACGGAAAGACCCCGUGAACCUUUACUAUAGCUUGACACUGAACAUUGAGCCUUGAUGUGUAGGAUAGGUGGGAGGCUUUGAAGUGUGGACGCCAGUCUGCAUGGAGCCGACCUUGAAAUACCACCCUUUAAUGUUUGAUGUUCUAACGUGGACCCGUAAUCCGGGUUGCGGACAGUGUCUGGUGGGUAGUUUGACUGGGGCGGUCUCCUCCUAAAGAGUAACGGAGGAGCACGAAGGUUGGCUAAUCCUGGUCGGACAUCAGGAGGUUAGUGCAAUGGCAUAAGCCAGCUUGACUGCGAGCGUGACGGCGCGAGCAGGUGCGAAAGCAGGUCAUAGUGAUCCGGUGGUUCUGAAUGGAAGGGCCAUCGCUCAACGGAUAAAAGGUACUCCGGGGAUAACAGGCUGAUACCGCCCAAGAGUUCAUAUCGACGGCGGUGUUUGGCACCUCGAUGUCGGCUCAUCACAUCCUGGGGCUGAAGUAGGUCCCAAGGGUAUGGCUGUUCGCCAUUUAAAGUGGUACGCGAGCUGGGUUUAGAACGUCGUGAGACAGUUCGGUCCCUAUCUGCCGUGGGCGCUGGAGAACUGAGGGGGGCUGCUCCUAGUACGAGAGGACCGGAGUGGACGCAUCACUGGUGUUCGGGUUGUCAUGCCAAUGGCACUGCCCGGUAGCUAAAUGCGGAAGAGAUAAGUGCUGAAAGCAUCUAAGCACGAAACUUGCCCCGAGAUGAGUUCUCCCUGACUCCUUGAGAGUCCUGAAGGAACGUUGAAGACGACGACGUUGAUAGGCCGGGUGUGUAAGCGCAGCGAUGCGUUGAGCUAACCGGUACUAAUGAACCGUGAGG
Molecule: ribosomal RNA, 1377 nt
Filed under: Escherichia coli
Lineage: Bacteria; Pseudomonadati; Pseudomonadota; Gammaproteobacteria; Enterobacterales; Enterobacteriaceae
Description: partial 23S ribosomal RNA
Rfam family: Bacterial large subunit ribosomal RNA
Source: RNAcentral